GAUGAACGCUGGCGGCGUGCCUAAUACAUGCAAGUAGAACGCUGAAGCUUGGUGCUUGCACCGAGCGGAUGAGUUGCGAACGGGUGAGUAACGCGUAGGUAACCUGCCUCUUAGCGGGGGAUAACUAUUGGAAACGAUAGCUAAUACCGCAUAAAAGUCGAUAUCGCAUGAUAUUGAUUUGAAAGGUGCAAUUGCAUCACUAAGAGAUGGACCUGCGUUGUAUUAGCUAGUUGGUGAGGUAACGGCUCACCAAGGCGACGAUACAUAGCCGACCUGAGAGGGUGAUCGGCCACACUGGGACUGAGACACGGCCCAGACUCCUACGGGAGGCAGCAGUAGGGAAUCUUCGGCAAUGGGGGCAACCCUGACCGAGCAACGCCGCGUGAGUGAAGAAGGUUUUCGGAUCGUAAAGCUCUGUUGUAAGAGAAGAACGAGUGUGAGAGUGGAAAGUUCACACUGUGACGGUAACUUACCAGAAAGGGACGGCUAACUACGUGCCAGCAGCCGCGGUAAUACGUAGGUCCCGAGCGUUAUCCGGAUUUAUUGGGCGUAAAGCGAGCGCAGGCGGUUAGAUAAGUCUGAAGUUAAAGGCUGUGGCUUAACCAUAGUACGCUUUGGAAACUGUUUAACUUGAGUGCAGAAGGGGAGAGUGGAAUUCCAUGUGUAGCGGUGAAAUGCGUAGAUAUAUGGAGGAACACCGGUGGCGAAAGCGGCUCUCUGGUCUGUAUCUGACGCUGAGGCUCGAAAGCGUGGGAGCAAACAUG
RNAcentral lists this ribosomal RNA (764 nucleotides) under uncultured Streptococcus sp. RNAcentral describes it as "bacterial SSU rRNA". It matches the Rfam family "Bacterial small subunit ribosomal RNA", at positions 28 to 776 of the family's 1533-position model. Lineage: Bacteria; Bacillati; Bacillota; Bacilli; Lactobacillales; Streptococcaceae. The record is from RNAcentral.